AUGGGCUACCUCCACGGUCUCAACCAAGUCCGGUUAGUAUCUAUUUUUCACAUCAUGCAUUAGAUCAGUGGCGGAGCUAUGUUGGUUGCUGGGGGGCUGUGGCCCCCUCAACAUUGAACCAACUUGUGAAGGAAAAAAUAUUAUGAUGGCUUAGAUGAAAACUUUGUUAGCUUUNNNNNNNNNNNNNNNNNNNNNNNNNNNNNNNNNNNNNNNNNNNNNNNNNNNNNNNNNNNNNNNNNNNNNNNNNNNNNNNNNNNNNNNNNNNNNNNNNNNNNNNNNNNNNNNNNNNNNNNNNNNNNNNNNNNNNNNNNNNNNNNNNNNNNNNNNNNNNNNNNNNNNNNNNNNNNNNNNNNNNNNNNNNNNNNNNNNNNNNNNNNNNNNNNNNNNNNNNNNNNNNNNNNNNNNNNNNNNNNNNNNNNNNNNNNNNNNNNNNNNNNNNNNNNNNNNNNNNNNNNNNNNNNNNNNNNNNNNNCUGAUUCUGUCCAGCUCCGCCACUGCAUUAGGUGAUCUAAAUGCUAGGCUUAAGAUCCUGUCACAUUUAUCCUUUAAGAUUGUUUCUAACAAUGGUAUCAUGAGCAUGUUUAUGCCUAGAUUAGAUCCCUACUGACCUUCUGUUUACGUUAAUGGUAAUGGUUAAGUCAUAAUGAUUUCAGAUUAAGAUCCAUGGUUAAUGCCUAUAGAUUAAUGCGCUCUGCUAAGUCAAUGAUAUAUGUUCAGGUUAAUUGGUUCCGGUCAAGGCCAAUUGCUAUGGGUUAAUGCUAUUAGACAGAACGUCCAAUAUAUUCUGUUAGAUUAAUUGAGCCAAGCUUCCGCAUCAAGUUAAUGAUACAAUUAGCACGUUACAAUCCCCGUUUAGCAAUUAGGAGGUGAUUUGACAAACUAAUGAAAAUCCCCAAAGUUCCAAAUUCACCAAAACCCUACCCUAGAAAUUUUCCCAAUUUGCAAAUCCAAAGCGCCAAAUGUUGAAAUUGAAGAAAAGAGGGACUGGUACUGUUGUUAAUGGCGGCCGCAGUGCGUGCUCGUCAUGGCCGGAACGACGCCGUCCUUCGGGACGACAACCAGUGUGAAGCGCGCCGCCGCUCGCCGCUCUAAUGGACGCGCACGUCGGCAGGGUUCCGCGCCUUGCACGUCGCCGUCGCAUCCAAAAGAUUGCGCCGGCAGUUGCGCUCGUCUCCCCAUCGUCGCUGUCUGGGCCAUAUUGCGUCCCGAGUGGCCACGCUCGGCAGAGGAGCGCGCGGCACUCCGUCCGCUGCGGACCCCCGUUUUGUUCCGCUGGGGCUCGAUCUGGUCCGUCAAUCCGAUCGGACGGGUGACAGCGACAAGUGGCAAAUAAUGGGCCUCAGUUUGUUAAAUGGGCCAAAUCUGGCAGUGGGCAGGUUGGUACCUCCUAUCUGCCACAUUCUGCGGCAGACUUGCAGGCGAGAGCUCCUAUGCGCCGCUCGUUGCGGCGAAUUGUCGAGCGGACGCACAGGCGUGUCUCCAGCUGGGCCAGCCCAUUAGCGCAACGCGAUGAAUAAAUCCCAAAAUACUCCGCUCGAGCGAGGAAUUGAACCAGGGACCUCCAUCUUUGUACGCACGAGCCUAGCCAACGCCAUAGACAAGCUUUCUUGGUUUGCCAUGGCACGCGAAGCUAACAGAUAAUGUAGAUCGGAACAUUUUCUCAAAUUCCUAACGCGAAAAUUAUUUUGAAAAAGUGUUUUUUUAAAAGUGAACACUCUCCAAAUUUUAGAAGAAAAACUAAAAAUCUUGAACAAAGUUUUGAUAAAAUGAACACUUUUUAAAAUCCCGAACAUUUUUUGAAUUUAGAGAACAAAAUUUGAACAUGAACAUUUUUUAAAGCACAAACUUUUUUUAAUCUUGAGAACAAAUUUUGAAACCGAGAACAAAUUUGGAAGCGCGGAUUGUUUUUUAAGGCAUGAAUAUGUUUUUUGAAUCUUGAGAACAAAUUUGGAAGCACGAACAAUUUCUUAAAGCACAAAGAUUUUUUUUAAUAUUGAGAACAAAUUUUGAAACGGAGAACCAAAUUGAAAAAUUAAGAACAAAUUUGGAAGCGUGAACAUUUUUUGAAAAUGGGAACAAAAAAAUUAAAGUCUAGUACAUUAUAUUAAUUUCGAAAGUUUUAAACUUUUUUGUAACAAGAACAAUUUUUUGAAUUUUGAGAACAUUUUUAGAAAAACUGAACAUUUUAUGGAAAGGCAACCAAAAUUUGAAUAUUUUGAAAAAAAAUAGAGAGAAAAGAAAAAGAAAAAGGAAAGGAAAUAAGAGACCAAAGAAAGAAAACAAAUAGAAAAAACGAAAAAAGAAGAAAUGAAAAAAGAAACAGAAAGGAAUUUGAAAAUCCGAAGAACAAAAAGGAAAUAGAAAGAGAAGAAAAAGGAAUUGAAAAAUGAAAUAAAGAAACAGAAAAACAACAACAACAACAACAACAACAACAACAACAACAACAACAAAGUCUUUAGUCCCAAACAAGUUGGGGUAGGCUAGAGAUGAAACCCAUAAGAUCUCGCAACCAACUCAUGGCUCUGGCACAUGGAUAGCAAGCUUCCACGCACCCCUGUCCAUAGCUAGCUCUUUGUCGAUACUCAAAUCCUUCAGGUCUCUCUUAACGGACAAAGAAACAGAAAAACAAAGAAAGAAAAAAUAAACAAAAAAAGAAAGAAAAACCAGUGAAAAACUGGUUCAAGAACCUUCUGGAAGGUUCUCAAAACCGGUCAGGAACCUUCCAGAAAAUACCCAAAACCAGAUACUAUAGCGUGUGUACUAUCUCGUAGUUGGGCCGGCCCAUCUUGAUAGCUAGGUCGCUCGCCUCUGUGGGUUCGCUCGACUUUCUGCCGCAAUGAUCGUCCGUUAGGAUAUUCCCUUAAGGGGGAGUUCCUAUGGAUCGCAUUCUGCGCUGCUUGAAAGCAUAUGACGCUAACCAGUUGACCUACUGACAUUUGUUCAUUACAAUACACCGUUCCAUUAAAAAAUUCAAACCCAAAACUUGUUUUUUCAAAAAAAAAUGUGAAUGUUUUAUCAAACGGGAACAUUUUUUCAAUUUUUUAAGAAUUUUGAGAAAACUUAAACAUUUUUGAACACGCAAAAUAAUUUUCGAGAAGCGGACAUUUUCAAAAUGGAACAUGUUUUAAACUACCCAAAAAACUGAACAGGAUUUGUUUUUCAAAAAUAGGAACAUUUUUCAAAUUCCAAAACAAAAUUUGGAAACGCAAAUAAAUUUUGAACACGUACAAAUUUUUAAUUUCCCAAACAUUUUUUUGAAAACAUGAAGGUUUUGGAAUAAUUUUUUAAAGCACGAACAUUUUUUUAAUCUUGAGAACAAAUUUUUAAACGGAGAACAAAUUUUGAAGCGCGGACAAAUUUUUAAAACACUAACAUUUUUUGAAUUUUAAGAACAAAUUUUCAAAUGGAGAACAAUUUAAAAAAAUCCCGAACAAAUUUGGAUGCGUGAUUUUUUUAAUAUGUGAACAAAAAAUUGAAAUCCGGUACAUUUUCUGAAUUUAGAAAGUUGUGAACUUUUUUGUGUAAUGACAGCAAUUUUUUGAAAACUGAACAUUUUUCUAAAACAUGGACGUUUUGGAAUUUGUGAACAAUUUUUUAAAGCACAAACAUUUUUCGAAUCUUGAGAACAAAUUCCAAAAAGGAGAACAAAUUUUGAAGCGUGAACAAAAUUUUAAUGCACGAACAUUUUUUGAAUCUUGAGAACAAAUUUUGAAAUGGAGAACAAUUUUGGAAAAUCCCUAACAAAUUUGGAAGCAUGAUUUUUUUUGGAAUACACGAACAAAAAUUUGAAAUCUAGUACAUUUUCUGAAUUUCAAAAGUUGCUGAACUUUUUUCUGUAAUGAGAACAUUUUUUCAAAAACUGAACAUUUUGUUGGAAACAUGAAUAAAACUUGAAUAUUUUGAAAAAAGUUUGAAAAAAAGAGAAGGGAAGCAAAAGAAACAAAAACCAAAGAAAAAAUUGUUGAGAAGAGAAAUUAACUUGAAAAGGAAAACUGGAAGAAAACAAAAAAAGUAACGAAAAGAAAAGGAAAAAGAACCAGAAAAAGGAAGAAGAAAAACAAAUAGAAAGGCUAAAAAAGAAAAAUAAAAGGAAAAAUAAAAAACCGGUUCAGGAACCUUUUAGAUAGUUCCCAAAACCAGUAACAACCGGCUGGGAACGCUCUAGAAGGUUCCCGAAACCAGAACCUGUAAGUACGUUAAAGAUGGGCCGGCUCAAAUCGCUCGCUAGUGGGCAUCCCUUGUGCGAUUCGUCGACAGUUUGACGCAAUAUGCGUCAAAUAGGAUUUUCCGACUGGCGGCGCUUUGCACAAGGGUGCCAAACUAACGGCCCGCCUAGGCAAUGAACCCCGUGAUGCGAACAAAAAGGAAGAACGACGCGCCCUAGGUUCGAAAUCUUCGUUAGCGUACUCAACCAGUGGACCUGAUGCCUUUCGUGAACGGUAAGCAGCGCCAACAUUUAAGUAGUGACACCAACACUGAGUGACACUCGCGUGUAAAAAUUCCUAAAAGUGUUGGUCCAGCAGGGAUUCGAACUCGGCCCCUCCUGAUAGUAAACAGUGGUACAUAAGCAUUGAAACACGUAUUUUUGGUCUCUAAAAUUGCAGCAUGGCUUAUAAGAAAUGCUAGGGCACACAACAUUUAGAGUACUCUGAAAAUUUUCCUUUGUUUUUACGUUUCACUAUUAGCCUUUGUUUUUAAGUUUCAGUAAGUCCAACAAUGUUUCUGUUAAUUUCUUCUUUGAAUAAAUGUAUUACUGAUCGAGUGUUUCAGAACUUUAGAACACUUGUUUGUCCUGUAAUUUCAAACACAACAGAUCAUGUUUAAUUAACCACCAUAUCAGCAAAUUGUGCUUCAUAGACAAACAUUAUAGACUAUCAAGAUGAAUGUAGCAUCGCCAUUACCUGUUUAGGCAGACCAUUUCAACCAUGGAUUGUGGUUGCAAUUAUUUGACAAGCUUCAGCGCUAGAAUCUGCAACCACAUCUGGCUCAUUGUCCUGGAAAUGAAGAAUUGAGUCACUUUAUUAUCUGUGAAACAAGAUACAGAAUUGAUCAACAAUUAUCCUUAGGCUUGCUGUGAACAUGCAUGAGCUAUAACACAGCAGUCCCCCACUUAAGCAGCAAGGAGUAGAGCAAACAAUCUUGAACAUCAUGUCAAUAAACUGAAAAUGUUCAAGGUACUGCAGUAAACUGAAUCAAUGUCGUUUUAUCAAUGUUGUUUCAAGCAGACAAAGGAGUUUCAAGUAAACUGAAAAUGUUCAAGGUAAUGCAGUAAACUGAAUCAACAACAACUACUCCCAACUCUAAAUUUUGACAGUAAGAAUAAGAAAGAAAAUUCAGUGAGUAAAUAAGAUUGCAGAAUAAGAAUAAGAACAGGGGCUUGAGGAUGUUCCAAUUAUUUAAGUGAAGAACUGCGAAUUUGUUAUGGUAGAUACUCCCAACUCUGAAUUAUGGGCAGAAUCAUGAGAUGACGAGAAAGGUUAUAGAGGGGCAGAAUCAUUGGCAUCAGAAGAAAAAUAAAUCGAGGGGCAGUUUUGUACAGGCUAUAGAGGUUAAUGAUAGCUGUGGUGUUACCGACAAAAUUACUGAAGUGUAACGAAUCUUGCUAAUAAUCCUUAGCAAGACAAUAAUCUUUAGCACUUGAAAACUCUUUGCAGAAAACAAAAAUUAUCUUGGAAAGUGUCCACGGAAUUUCAGUCGGAGCCAUCUCCUUUUCAAAAACAUCAUGAAUCCAAAAUCUAGGAGACAGAUUUUAGAGAAUUGCUAAUAUUCCUGGGACAGUAGCAGCAUGGGCUAAUCUAAGCUUUAUUUCACACUUAACUGCCUGAUGUGACUGCACGAGGCACUGUUGUUGCAUUUUAUCACUAGGCAAAUGUUCUCUGCAAACAUCAUUCAUUCUUCUGGUUUUUCUCUGCAGGAGCAACAUAAAAGAGGCGAAGACGCCGAAGAACCAAAGAUAUCGGUAGCCAAAGCCUUCAAAGCGCAGGGAGAGGUAGCUUUAGAAGAUCACUACUGCUUUCUUUCAGGAGAGAUGGAAAUGUUGCUGUCGCUGUACCAACCGUUAGCUUAGACAACAGUAAGGCGUAAGCAAGCCCUGCACUGGGAUGAUGAUUUGCUUGGCCAUCUUAUGGGGAAAGUAUAUACAGGGAGAAGCUCUUAAACUUUGUUGCUUGUAAGUAAGCCACAUUUCGAUAGCAAAUCAUUGAUCAGGAAAUAUCAAC
RNAcentral lists this long non-coding RNA (6218 nucleotides) under Triticum aestivum (bread wheat). Its description in RNAcentral is "long non-coding RNA (TAES_LNC023139)". The record is from RNAcentral. Lineage: Eukaryota; Viridiplantae; Streptophyta; Magnoliopsida; Poales; Poaceae.